UGGCUCAGAUUGAACGCUGGCGGCAGGCCUAACACAUGCAAGUCGAACGGUAACAGGAAGCAGCUUGCUGCUCGCUGACGAGUGGCGGACGGGUGAGUAAUGUCUGGGAAACUGCCCGAUGGAGGGGGAUAACUACUGGAAACGGUAGCUAAUACCGCAUAAUGUCGCAAGACCAAAGAGGGGGACCUUCGGGCCUCUUGCCAUCGGAUGUGCCCAGAUGGGAUUAGCUUGUUGGUGAGGUAACGGCUCACCAAGGCGACGAUCCCUAGCUGGUCUGAGAGGAUGACCAGCCACACUGGAACUGAGACACGGUCCAGACUCCUACGGGAGGCAGCAGUGGGGAAUAUUGCACAAUGGGCGCAAGCCUGAUGCAGCCAUGCCGCCGUGUAUGAAGAAGGCCUUCGGGUUGUAAAGUACUUUCAGCGGGGAGGAAGGUGUUGUGGUUAAUAACCGCAGCAAUUGACGUUACCCGCAGAAGAAGCGCCGGCUAACUCCGUGCCAGCCGCGGC
This 509-nucleotide ribosomal RNA is filed under the name uncultured bacterium. Its description in RNAcentral is "bacterial SSU rRNA". It matches the Rfam family "Bacterial small subunit ribosomal RNA", at positions 20 to 518 of the family's 1533-position model. The record is from RNAcentral.